Molecule: ribosomal RNA, 228 nt
Filed under: uncultured bacterium
Lineage: Bacteria
Description: partial 16S ribosomal RNA
Rfam family: Bacterial small subunit ribosomal RNA
Source: RNAcentral
GAACACGUGAGAAACGUACCCCAGACUCUGGGAUAACAAUUGGAAACGAUUGCUAAUACCGGAUGACGUCGGAGAAUCGCAUGAUUCACUGACGAAAGAUAUUUCGGUUUGGGAGCGUCUCGCGGCCUAUCAGCUAGUUGGAGGGGUAACGGCCCACCAAGGCAACGACGGGUAGCUGGUCUGAGAGGAUGGUCAGCCACACUGGGACUGAGACACGGCCCAGACUCC